GUCAUACUAGCUGCUAUACCAAUCUUUCCCUUACUACUCAAUUGUCCCUAAGCAGGGUAGGGUCAGGUACCUGAAGUGUGGGGGUCACCAUCAUUAGGACAAGUGCUCCAGUGACACACCAAACAGCCAAGAAACAGAUUAUUUUAGGGGUGCGUCUUAUGGUCAGGUGCGUCUUAUGGAAAGAAAAAUACGAUGAUCCAGAGCUACAUUGAUUCCCCAAAGCUCAAAUCCCUUUAGUCCAAAUCCUGAAUCAGUAUUGUCAGUGAUCAUCCAUUGGGAUAGUAGUCAUAGAGAAUGGAAUGCGAGACAUCGUCAGUGAAGUAAUGGAGAGUCAAAUGCAGUAGAU
Molecule: long non-coding RNA, 346 nt
Organism: Hyla sarda
Lineage: Eukaryota; Metazoa; Chordata; Amphibia; Anura; Hylidae
Exons: 4
Source: RefSeq, a predicted model, not a curated record